GGAAGGAUCAUUAACACUUCCGAUUAUCUAACCAUACCUGAAUCCUGUUCCCUCUUGGGAGCAGUCUUACCUUACUUACAAACAAUUGACCAAGUCAAUUAACAAUCACCAUUCUCAACGACGGAUAUCUAGGUUCCCAUUACGAUGAAGAACGCAGCAAAGUGCGAUAAGCAAUGCGAAUUGCAGAAAUCCGCGAGUCAUCAGAUUUUUGAAUGCAAUCGGCGCCAUGGGGCAACCCUUAGGCAUGUUUGUUUCAGUGUGCCCUACUAACUAAACCAACCUAAUGCCUGAGAAACUUCUCAGGUUAAGUGAGGUGCGGCAUUCCGCUAAUCCGAAGCAGUAGUCACACUCACGUGGACCUCUUUGGAUAAAGGCUGACGCACAGAUUCAACCACAAGUAAACACCUGAGGCAAGCAAGAGUACCCGCUAAACUUAAGCAUAUUACUCAGCGGAGGAAAAGAAACUAACAAAGAUUGCCUUAGUAACGGCGAGUGAAGAGGCAAAAGCUCAAAGUUAAAAUCGUGCGUCUCUGGCGUACGAAUUGUAACCUCAAGGGGGGGACAUAAGCCGAAUUGACGCAUAAGUCCCGAGGAUUCGGGCGCCAUAGAGGGUGAAAGCCCCGUACACGGUGUCGAUUCGGUGAAAGGAAACCUUCUCAGAGUCGGGUUGUUUGGUAAUGCAGCCCUAAACGGGAGAUAAACAUCUUCUAAAGCUAAAUAUGAAUGGGAAUCCGAUAGCGAACAAGUACUGCGAAGGAAAGAUGAGAAGAACUUUGGAAAGAGAGUUACAAGACUUGAAAUCGUUGAGAAGGAAGCGGUAGAGAUCCAUUAUUCCCUGAUCUUAAAGUCUCCAAGGUACACUUAGUUUUCACGUACAUUAAAGGCGUGAGGGCGAAGGCUGUAUUUUGGGGGCGUAUAGAGUAGGGGAAACACAGGAUGAAAUCGACGGCUCUUAGUAGCGAGCAUUCUAGCGGGGAAACCUGUUGUAUGCUUAGUGAAAGAGCGGCCGGUUUGAGGGGCCUUCGGGCGAUUCUGUGACAAUGGUCUUUUCCGUCCCGUCUUGAAACACGGACCAAGGAGUCUAGCAUAUAUGCGAGUGUGCUGGUGACAAACCGAUACGCGAAACGAAAGUGAAAUAUGCCAGGCGCAAGCCGCAGCAUAGGCCGACACCGAGCUAUAGCUCGGAGAUUGAGCAGGAGCAUAUCUGUUAGGACCCGAAAGAUGGUGAACUAUGCCUGUGCAGAGAGAAGUCAGGGGAAACCCUGAUGGAGGCUCGUAGCGAUACUGACGUGCAAAUCGUUCGUCAAACAUGGGUAUAGGGGCGAAAGACCAAUCGAACUAUCUAGUAGCUGGUUCCUUC
This 1360-nucleotide unclassified non-coding RNA is filed under the name uncultured fungus. Its description in RNAcentral is "sequence contains 18S rRNA gene, ITS1, 5.8S rRNA gene, ITS2, 28S rRNA gene". The stretch from base 401 to 1360 matches the Rfam family "Eukaryotic large subunit ribosomal RNA", at positions 1 to 961 of the family's 3401-position model. Lineage: Eukaryota; Fungi. The record is from RNAcentral.